UACGGAGGGUGCAAGCGUUAUCCGGAUUCACUGGGUUUAAAGGGUGCGUAGGAGGGCAGGUAAGUCAGUGGUGAAAUCCCCGAGCUUAACUUGGGAACUGCCGUUGAUACUAUCUGUCUUGAAUGUUGUGGAGGUGAGCGGAAUAUGUCAUGUAGCGGUGAAAUGCUUAGAUAUGACAUAGAACACCAAUUGCGAAGGCAGCUUGCUACACUACUAUUGACACUGAGGCACGAAAGCGUGGGGAUCAAACAGG
This 253-nucleotide ribosomal RNA is filed under the name uncultured bacterium. RNAcentral's name for it is "partial 16S ribosomal RNA". It matches the Rfam family "Bacterial small subunit ribosomal RNA", at positions 524 to 776 of the family's 1533-position model. The record is from RNAcentral.